RNAcentral lists this long non-coding RNA (931 nucleotides) under Elaeis guineensis (African oil palm). RNAcentral describes it as "long non-coding RNA (EGUI_LNC073857)". Lineage: Eukaryota; Viridiplantae; Streptophyta; Magnoliopsida; Arecales; Arecaceae. The record is from RNAcentral.
GCACUUUCCCACAUUAUUCGCUGGGGAUAACAUUCCUGACCUUGUGAUGAAGGCAACUCUGUUUAACAACAGAUAAUUUUUUGCUAAACAAACGAACCUUAAGUUCUAAAAUUACAUAUUGUUCGCUUCAAAAAACUUCCCUCCUAAUUUCUAUGGACUCUUCCAGUCCUACCAAGAGUAAACCAUCUUCUUCAUCACCCUCACUCCUACAUAGCUAUUAUGGCUCCUCCAGGCUCCUUCCACCAAGCACAAGUUUCUUGCUAGAAAUUCCAUAUAGAAACGCUGUAGUCAUGUUUCCUUGAAGCAACUCUUCUCAUACUUCCGUCUUUUAGCUUGCUCUCUUUUAAAACUUUUGAGUUCAGAUUUUCUUCAAUCUAAAUAACAAACCAAUCUUUGACCUUCACAAUUCACAUUGUCAUCUCCCAUCACAAACAUUGCCAAACAAUCUCCCUCAUUUGCAACAUCCUACCACGGCUUUAUUUUUUUUUUUUUAAAUAUAUAGUAUCUCCAAGUCCCAUUUGGUGAACUCUGCUGCGUUGACCUGCGAAUGGCUGCAAUAGGCGUUCAUUCAGUCUUCAAUGCCCUGAUCAAUUAUUAGAGUAAUUCUUGUUUGUGAGACCGAUAAUCAAACUUUUCCAGAAAACUCAUACAACCACGAGUUCGGAGUAAAAUCUGGUUCAUAUCUUUGCGAUGUAAGUAUUAAAGAAAACUCAGAAAUGACUGUCGCUUGUCCUCCUUUCUUUUUUCCUCUUUUCCAUUUCUAUACUACUUUUCUUUUAAAAUUUGCAAAGCCAUAUCAGAUUGGUCAUAAUCUGACACUAGUUUUGUGCUAAAACCCAUCAUAAAUCCUCUCAGACUUUAAAUUUAAUUCAUCUAUAUAUUUAUAAGUUAGGCGCGUUAAAAUUUCCAUGAUUAUGAAAGAUCAAUCCUG